RNAcentral lists this ribosomal RNA (496 nucleotides) under uncultured bacterium. Its description in RNAcentral is "partial 16S ribosomal RNA". It matches the Rfam family "Bacterial small subunit ribosomal RNA", at positions 29 to 507 of the family's 1533-position model. The record is from RNAcentral.
AUGAACGCUGGCGGCGUGCCUAAUACCUGCAAGUCGAGCGAACAGACGAGGAGCUUGCUCCUCUGACGUUAGCGGCGUACGGGUGAGUAACACGUGGAUAACCUACCUAUAAGACUGGGAUAACUUCGGGAAACCGGAGCUAAUACCGGAUAAUAUAUUGAACCGCAUGGUUCAAUAGUGAAAGACGGUUUUGCUUUCACUUAUAGAUUGAUCCGCGCCGCAUUAGCUAGUUGGUAAGGUAACGGCUUACCAAGGCAACGAUGCGUAGCCGACCUGAGAGGGUGAUCGGCCACACUGGAACUGAGACACGGUCCAGACUCCUACGGGAGGCAGCAGUAGGGAAUCUUCCGCAAUGGGCGAAAGCCUGACGGAGCAACGCCGCGUGAGUGAUGAAGGUCUUCGGAUCGUAAAACUCUGUUAUUAGGGAAGAACAAAUGUGUAAGUAACUAUGCACGUCUUGACGGUACCUAAUCAGAAAGCCACGGCUAACUACGUG